This 465-nucleotide ribosomal RNA is filed under the name Oenococcus oeni. Its description in RNAcentral is "bacterial LSU rRNA". It matches the Rfam family "Bacterial large subunit ribosomal RNA", at positions 305 to 771 of the family's 2925-position model. Lineage: Bacteria; Bacillati; Bacillota; Bacilli; Lactobacillales; Lactobacillaceae. The record is from RNAcentral.
GAUGUUGAGUUACAAAGGUAUAAGAUAGCAGAAACAGUUGGGAAGCUGUUCCAAAGAGGGUGACAGGCCCGUAUGCGAAAUCUUGUACUCUCUAAUCAGGAUCCUGAGUACGGCCCAGCACGUGAAAUUGGGUCGGAAUCUGGGAGGACCAUCUCCCAAGGCUAAAUACUAACUAGUGACCGAUAGCGAACAAGUACCGUGAGGGAAAGGUGAAAAGAACCCCGGAAGGGGAGUGAAAUAGUUCUUGAAACCGUGUGCUUACAAGAAGUUCGAGGCCGUUAAUGGCUGAGAGCGUGCUUUUUGUAGAAUGAACCGGAGAGUUACGAUUGCGUGCAAGGUUAAGGUGCAAAGACUGGAGCCGUAGCGAAAGCGAGUCUUAAUAGGGCGAAUCAGUACGUAGUUGUAGACCCGAAACCGAGUGACCUAUCCAUGGUCAGGUUGAAGGUGGGGUAAUACCUACUGGAG